RNAcentral lists this ribosomal RNA (529 nucleotides) under uncultured Acinetobacter sp. RNAcentral describes it as "bacterial SSU rRNA". It matches the Rfam family "Bacterial small subunit ribosomal RNA", at positions 56 to 581 of the family's 1533-position model. The record is from RNAcentral. Lineage: Bacteria; Pseudomonadati; Pseudomonadota; Gammaproteobacteria; Moraxellales; Moraxellaceae.
UGCAGUCGAGCGGGGGACUUAGCUUGCUACUGGACCUAGCGGCGGACGGGUGAGUAAUACUUAGGAAUCUGCCUAUUAGUGGGGGACAACGUUCCGAAAGGAGCGCUAAUACCGCAUACGCCCUACGGGGGAAAGCAGGGGAUCUUCGGACCUUGCGCUAAUAGAUGAGCCUAAGUCGGAUUAGCUAGUUGGUGGGGUAAAGGCCUACCAAGGCGACGAUCUGUAGCGGGUUUGAGAGGAUGAUCCGCCACACUGGGACUGAGACACGGCCCAGACUCCUACGGGAGGCAGCAGUGGGGAAUAUUGGACAAUGGGCGCAAGCCUGAUCCAGCCAUGCCGCGUGUGUGAAGAAGGCCUUAUGGUUGUAAAGCACUUUAAGCGAGGAGGAGGCUUACCUAGUUAAUACCUAGGAUAAGUGGACGUUACUCGCAGAAUAAGCACCGGCUAACUCUGUGCCAGCAGCCGCGGUAAUACAGAGGGUGCAAGCGUUAAUCGGAAUUACUGGGCGUAAAGCGCGCGUAGGUGGCCA